RNAcentral lists this transfer RNA (58 nucleotides) under Neotoma lepida (desert woodrat). It matches the Rfam family "tRNA", at positions 8 to 63 of the family's 71-position model. From Rfam's summary of the family: Transfer RNA (tRNA) molecules are approximately 80 nucleotides in length. Their secondary structure includes four short double-helical elements and three loops (D, anti-codon, and T loops). The record is from Rfam by way of RNAcentral. Lineage: Eukaryota; Metazoa; Chordata; Mammalia; Rodentia; Cricetidae.
UAGCUCAGAGGUUAAGAGCACUGGCUGUUCUUCCAGAGGACCUGAGUUCAAUUCUCAG